This is a long non-coding RNA of Pollicipes pollicipes, 281 nucleotides long. RefSeq lists it as uncharacterized. The record is from RefSeq and is a predicted model, not a curated record. Lineage: Eukaryota; Metazoa; Arthropoda; Thecostraca; Pollicipedomorpha; Pollicipedidae. The transcript is spliced from 3 exons.
CCGUUGUUGAACGUGACGCUUAGUUGGUAGUUAAACAAUUGCAGAUAACCGCGGAGUCCUACACUUAGGUGCCUCAAUCAUGAAUGAUAUACAUCUGGCAGGAUGUGUGUUGAUUAUGUCAGCCAUCUGCAGCUCAGCUGUCAGAGUUGGCAUCGUCGGAGGUGGCAUCGGCGGGGCCUCGGCCGCCUACUUUGUCCGUCAGCUGUUCAAGGAGGACGCCGACAUUCAGUUGUAUGAACAGAACAGAAUCGGCGGCCGCCUGGACAUGGAGGAGGUCAACG